This 379-nucleotide ribosomal RNA is filed under the name Candidatus Portnoybacteria bacterium CG09_land_8_20_14_0_10_44_13. RNAcentral's name for it is "bacterial SSU rRNA". It matches the Rfam family "Bacterial small subunit ribosomal RNA", at positions 1147 to 1533 of the family's 1533-position model. The record is from RNAcentral. Lineage: Bacteria; Candidatus Portnoyibacteriota.
GACUGCCUCGGGAUACGGGGAGGAAGGCGGGGAUGACGUCAAAUCAGCGUGAUCCUUUGAUGCCCUGGGCUACACACAUGCUACAAUGGCCGGUACAAUGGGUUGCCAAGCCGUAAGGCGGAGCCAAUCCCAUCAAAACCGGUCUCAGUUCGGAUUGAGGGCUGAAACUCGCCCUCAUGAAGUAGGAAUCGCUAGUAAUCGCGGAUCAGCUAUGCCGCGGUGAAUACGUUCCCGAGCUUUGUACUCACCGCCCGUCAAGCCAGGGGAGCCGGUAGUUCUGGAAACGCCACUUCGGUGGUGUUAAAGAAAGAUCGGUAACAAGGGCUAAGUCGUAACAAGGCAUCCGUAGCGGAAGCUGUGGAUGGAUCACCUCCUUUCU